This 425-nucleotide long non-coding RNA is filed under the name Gallus gallus (chicken). Lineage: Eukaryota; Metazoa; Chordata; Aves; Galliformes; Phasianidae. The record is from RNAcentral.
CAGAAACUGCCAGUUGCUGCCAACUUGAAAACAAGCAGAGGCUCCCAAAGCCACAGCCACGCUGUGUGCAAAGCCUCAGUCUACCUACAGGUACUGAAUUAAGUCAUAUAAAACACACGCAGCAACAACAACAGAUGGGAUAGGAAGACAACCAAGCAGAUACAAGCAUUGUACCUGUUGAAUGCUGCCAGGUACAAGACUUUGGCAGCGGCCAUUGUUGGCUGCAGAGUAAAUCGUUGGGUUUGUUCAGUUUUGUUUGGUUUCUGUUUUGAAGAGAUCCCUUGCAGACACAGCAGCUCCUCAGUACAUGGCCUUUCUUUUUGUUACGCGGUGUUCCCGAACAAUGAGGCCCCGCGAGCUACAGCUCUGUAUCUCUUCAUCUGCUCUAUGUUUUGCUCAGUUCCGUAACCACAGCCAGUAUUUGG